This 253-nucleotide ribosomal RNA is filed under the name uncultured bacterium. RNAcentral describes it as "partial 16S ribosomal RNA". It matches the Rfam family "Bacterial small subunit ribosomal RNA", at positions 524 to 776 of the family's 1533-position model. The record is from RNAcentral.
UACAGAGGUCCUAAGCGUUGUUCGGAUUCAUUGGGCGUAAAGGGUGCGUAGGCGGCGCGGUAAGUCGGGUGUGAAAUCUCGGGGCUUAACUCCGAAACUGCAUUCGAUACUGCCGUGCUUGAGGACUGGAGAGGAGACUGGAAUUUACGGUGUAGCAGUGAAAUGCGUAGAUAUCAGGAGGAACACCGGUGGCGAAGGCGGCUCUCUGGACGGUGACUGACGCUGAGACGCGAAAGCGUGGGGAGCAAACAGG